GCGCGGGUAGUUCAGCGGUUAGAAUACGACGUUGCCAACGUUGUGACCCGAGUUCGAGUCUCGGCCUGCGCA
This 72-nucleotide transfer RNA is filed under the name Candidatus Pacearchaeota archaeon. RNAcentral describes it as "tRNA-Gly". It matches the Rfam family "tRNA". From Rfam's summary of the family: Transfer RNA (tRNA) molecules are approximately 80 nucleotides in length. Lineage: Archaea; Nanobdellati. The record is from RNAcentral.